GAUGAACGCUGGCGGCGUGCCUAAUACAUGCAAGUCGAGCGAACAGACGAUGAGCUUGCUCCUCUGACGUUAGCGGCGGACGGGUGAGUAACACGUGGAUAACCUACCUAUAAGACUGGGAUAACUUCGGGAAACCGCAGCUAAUACUGGAUAAUAUAUUGAACCGCAUGGUUCAAUAGUGAAAGACGGUUUUGCUGUCACUUAUAGAUGGAUCCGCGCCGCAUUAGCUAGUUGGUAAGGUAACGGCUUACCAAGGCGACGAUGCGUAGCCGACCUGAGAGGGUGAUCGGCCACACUGGAACUGAGACACGGUCCAGACUCCUACGGGAGGCAGCAGUAGGGAAUAUUCCGCAAUGGGCGAAAGCCUGACGGAGCAACGCCGCGUGAGUGAAGAAGGUCUUCGGAUCGUAAAACUCUGUUAUUAGGGAAGAACAACUGUGUAAGAAACUAUGCACGUCCUGACGGUACCUAAACAGAAAGCCACGGCUAACUACGUG
This 497-nucleotide ribosomal RNA is filed under the name uncultured bacterium. Its description in RNAcentral is "partial 16S ribosomal RNA". It matches the Rfam family "Bacterial small subunit ribosomal RNA", at positions 28 to 507 of the family's 1533-position model. The record is from RNAcentral.